Long non-coding RNA from Dreissena polymorpha, 802 nucleotides. RefSeq lists it as uncharacterized. The transcript is spliced from 3 exons. NCBI's taxonomy places the organism in Eukaryota, Metazoa, Mollusca, Bivalvia, Myida, Dreissenidae. The record is from RefSeq and is a predicted model, not a curated record.
AUUAUAAGUAUCUGCUAUUUUAGAGGCAAUCAGGGCAGACCGUCUUUACUGUGACUGAUAUCUGGAUGGUGAAAUUCGGUUGGUGGAACUUGGGCUUCUAGCUCUGGAGUGUUUGCUGUUAGUUUCUAUCAAGGGAGCUUUGGGAACAGACUGUACUAGCAUAUCAGCAGAAUUGUUUUACUAAUUAUUGGAGAGAGAUUGGUGUGUUCAGUGAAAAUUAAGAUUAUCUAACAAAGUGUGAUUGUGCCUGUGGAAUUAAAAGCAGUGUAGAUUGAUUAAUUAGAAAGUGUAAUACAUUAUUGCUGGGUAAUUAAUUGCUUGAUUGUUUAGGACAAAGUAGAGAAAAAAGCACAACAGUUAGAUUCAGUGUUACAGUCUUAAUGUAAGUGUGAGGGAGAACUUUGUGUGCUGACAAAUUUUGGCAAACAUAUAUCGUACGAGUUUGUGCAUACAUUUCUGCAAAGUGUUUUGGAGUUUUAAAUUGCAGUUGUGAUAAAUUGAUCUCAUUUGGAUUAAUAUUGUGGAAUAUUUAAACACCUCAGGUGGGAUGAAGCUGAUCUGACCCUAAUGACCCUGCCCAGACUGAUGUGACAUGGUGAGAUGAACGGAAGAUGUUGCCCAGCCGGUCCCCAGUCACAUCAUCUGCAGUGAAUGAUGGGUGAGAAACGGUUCCCAGCCCUGCGAUGUCUCACCUUUCUUUGGUGGUGUGUAGCCUUUCUUUGGUGGUGUGUAGCCGCAGUAAUCGCCUCUGAACACAAACACGACUUCCCCAAGGAGUUUGACCUCAGAUAUACUUCUUAUC